AAAGAAACCAACAGGGAUGCCCUAGUAACGGCGAGUGAAGCGGCAACAGCUCAAAUUUGAAAUCUGGCCCUCGGGUCCGAGUUGUAAUUUGUAGAGGAUGCUUUUGGUGAGGUACCUUCCGAGUUCCCUGGAACGGGACGCCAUAGAGGGUGAGAGCCCCGUCUGGUUGGAUACCGAUCCUCUGUAAAGCUCCUUCGACGAGUCGAGUAGUUUGGGAAUGCUGCUCUAAAUGGGAGGUAUAUGUCUUCUAAAGCUAAAUAUUGGCCAGAGACCGAUAGCGCACAAGUAGAGUGAUCGAAAGAUGAAAAGCACUUUGAAAAGAGAGUUAAAAAGUACGUGAAAUUGUUGAAAGGGAAGCGCUUAUGACCAGACUUGGACUUGGUUGAUCAUCCUGGGUUCUCCCUGGUGCACUCUUCCAGUUCAGGCCAGCAUCAGUUCGCUGCGGGGGAUAAAAGUUUUGGGAAUGUGGCUCCCUCGGGAGUGUUAUAGCCCAUUGCAUAAUACCCUGCUCCGGACUGAGGUUCGCGCAUCUGCAAGGAUGCUGGCGUAAUGGUCAUCAGCGACCCGUCUUGAAACACGGACCAAGGAGUCGUCUUCGUAUGCGAGUGUUCGGGUGUUAAACCCCUACGCGUAAUGAAAGUGAACGCAGGUGAGAGCUUCGGCGCAUCAUCGACCGAUCCUGAUGUUCUCGGAUGGAUUUGAGUAAGAGCAUACGGGGCCGGACCCGAAAGAAGGUGAACUAUGCCUGUAUAGGGUGAAGCCAGAGGAAACUCUGGUGGAGGCUCGCAGCGGUUCUGACGUGCAAAUCGAUCGUCAAAUAUGGGCAUGGGGCGAAAGACUAAUCGAACCCUCUAGUAGCUGAUCUCCGCCGAAGUUUCCCUCAGGA
This 886-nucleotide ribosomal RNA is filed under the name Calonectria lauri. Its description in RNAcentral is "eukaryotic LSU rRNA". It matches the Rfam family "Eukaryotic large subunit ribosomal RNA", at positions 58 to 978 of the family's 3401-position model. Lineage: Eukaryota; Fungi; Ascomycota; Sordariomycetes; Hypocreales; Nectriaceae. The record is from RNAcentral.